This 1673-nucleotide ribosomal RNA is filed under the name Meloidogyne ethiopica. Its description in RNAcentral is "SSU rRNA". It matches the Rfam family "Eukaryotic small subunit ribosomal RNA". Lineage: Eukaryota; Metazoa; Nematoda; Chromadorea; Rhabditida; Meloidogynidae. The record is from RNAcentral.
GCCAUGCAUGUAUAAGUUUAAUCGUUUAUCGAGAAACCGCGAACGGCUCAUUACAAUGGCCAUGAUUUACUUGAUCUUGAUUAUCUAAAUGGAUAACUGUGGAAAAGCUAGAGCUAAUACAUGCACCAAAGCUUUGUCCUCUCGGAAAAGCGCAUUUAUUAGAACAAAACCANGCGGCUUCGGCUGCUUCUUGUUGACUCAGAAUAACUAAGCUGACCGCAUGGCCUUGUGCCGGCGGCGUGUCUUUCAAGCGUCCACUUUAUCAACUUGACGGGAGCAUAAUCGACUCCCGUGGUGGUGACGGAUAACGGAGGAUCAGGGUUCGACUCCGGAGAAGGGGCCUGAGAAAUGGCCACUACGUCUAAGGAUGGCAGCAGGCGCGCAAAUUACCCACUCUCGGCUCGAGGAGGUAGUGACGAGAAAUAACGAGACUGUUCUCUUUGAGGCCGGUCAUCGGAAUGGGUACAAUUUAAACCCUUUAACGAGUAUCAAGCAGAGGGCAAGUCUGGUGCCAGCAGCCGCGGUAAUUCCAGCUCUGCUAAUACAUAGAAUUAUUGNUGCGGUUAAAAAGCUCGUAGUUGGAUUCGUAUCGGUAYCCUGGAACCCUYCGGGUGUUUCUGGGUGUUAUCGAUUUAUCGUAAUGUUCGGUUUUGAGUCCUUAACAGGAUUCUUAACAGGCAUUGCAAGUUUACUUUGAACAAAUCAGAGUGCUUCAAACAGGCGUUUUCGCUUGAAUGAUCGUGCAUGGAAUAAUAGAAAANGAUUUCGGUUCAGUUUUAUUGGUUUUACGGACUGAGAUAAUGGUUAACAGAGACAAACGGGGGCAUUUGUAUGGCCCCGUGAGAGGUGAAAUUCUUGGACCGUGGCCAGACAAACUACAGCGAAAGCAUUUGCCAAGAAUGUUUUUAUUAAUCAAGAACGAAAGUCAGAGGUUCGAAGGCGAUCAGAUACCGCCCUAGUUCUGACCGUAAACGAUGCCAACUAGCGAUCCGCCGAUGGAAAUUAUAUUGCCUUGGUGGGGAGCUUCCCGGAAACGAAAGUCUUCCGGUUCCGGGGGAAGUAUGGUUGCAAAGCUGAAACUUAAAGGAAUUGACGGAAGGGCACCACCAGGAGUGGAGCCUGCGGCUUAAUUUGACUCAACACGGGGAAACUCACCCGGCCCGGACACUGUGAGGAUUGACAGAUUGAUAGCUUUUUCAUGAUUCAGUGGAUGGUGGUGCAUGGCCGUUCUUAGUUCGUGGAGUGAUUUGUCUGGUUUAUUCCGAUAACGAGCGAGACUCUAACCUACUAAAUAGUUGGURCAUACUCUUWGUGUAUACAGCUUCUUAGAGGGAUUUGCGGCGUUCAGCCGAAAGAAAUUGAGCAAUAACAGGUCUGUGAUGCCCUUAGAUGUCCGGGGCUGCACGCGCGCUACACUGGCAAAAUCAACGUGCUUGUCCUACCCUGAAAGGGGCGGGUAAACCAUUGAAAAUUUGCCGUGAUUGGGAUCGGAAAUUGCAAUUAUUUUCCGUGAACGAGGAAUUCCAAGUAAGUGCGAGUCAUCAGCUCGCGUUGAUUACGUCCCUGCCCUUUGUACACACCGCCCGUCGCUGCCCGGGACUGAGCCAUUUCGAGAAAUUUGGGGACCGUUGAUUUAAUUUUUCUAAAUUACUUUGAUGGAAACCAAUUUAAUC